This 1199-nucleotide ribosomal RNA is filed under the name Escherichia coli. RNAcentral describes it as "partial 23S ribosomal RNA". It matches the Rfam family "Bacterial large subunit ribosomal RNA", at positions 344 to 1549 of the family's 2925-position model. The record is from RNAcentral. Lineage: Bacteria; Pseudomonadati; Pseudomonadota; Gammaproteobacteria; Enterobacterales; Enterobacteriaceae.
GGAAAGGCGCGCGAUACAGGGUGACAGCCCCGUACACAAAAAUGCACAUGCUGUGAGCUCGAUGAGUAGGGCGGGACACGUGGUAUCCUGUCUGAAUAUGGGGGGACCAUCCUCCAAGGCUAAAUACUCCUGACUGACCGAUAGUGAACCAGUACCGUGAGGGAAAGGCGAAAAGAACCCCGGCGAGGGGAGUGAAAAAGAACCUGAAACCGUGUACGUACAAGCAGUGGGAGCACGCUUAGGCGUGUGACUGCGUACCUUUUGUAUAAUGGGUCAGCGACUUAUAUUCUGUAGCAAGGUUAACCGAAUAGGGGAGCCGAAGGGAAACCGAGUCUUAACUGGGCGUUAAGUUGCAGGGUAUAGACCCGAAACCCGGUGAUCUAGCCAUGGGCAGGUUGAAGGUUGGGUAACACUAACUGGAGGACCGAACCGACUAAUGUUGAAAAAUUAGCGGAUGACUUGUGGCUGGGGGUGAAAGGCCAAUCAAACCGGGAGAUAGCUGGUUCUCCCCGAAAGCUAUUUAGGUAGCGCCUCGUGAAUUCAUCUCCGGGGGUAGAGCACUGUUUCGGCAAGGGGGUCAUCCCGACUUACCAACCCGAUGCAAACUGCGAAUACCGGAGAAUGUUAUCACGGGAGACACACGGCGGGUGCUAACGUCCGUCGUGAAGAGGGAAACAACCCAGACCGCCAGCUAAGGUCCCAAAGUCAUGGUUAAGUGGGAAACGAUGUGGGAAGGCCCAGACAGCCAGGAUGUUGGCUUAGAAGCAGCCAUCAUUUAAAGAAAGCGUAAUAGCUCACUGGUCGAGUCGGCCUGCGCGGAAGAUGUAACGGGGCUAAACCAUGCACCGAAGCUGCGGCAGCGACGCUGAUGCGUUGUUGGGUAGGGGAGCGUUCUGUAAGCCUGCGAAGGUGUGCUGUGAGGCAUGCUGGAGGUAUCAGAAGUGCGAAUGCUGACAUAAGUAACGAUAAAGCGGGUGAAAAGCCCGCUCGCCGGAAGACCAAGGGUUCCUGUCCAACGUUAAUCGGGGCAGGGUGAGUCGACCCCUAAGGCGAGGCCGAAAGGCGUAGUCGAUGGGAAACAGGUUAAUAUUCCUGUACUUGGUGUUACUGCGAAGGGGGGACGGAGAAGGCUAUGUUGGCCGGGCGACGGUUGUCCCGGUUUAAGCGUGUAGGCUGGUUUUCCAGGCAAAUCCGGAAAA